RNAcentral lists this ribosomal RNA (504 nucleotides) under uncultured bacterium. Its description in RNAcentral is "partial 16S ribosomal RNA". It matches the Rfam family "Bacterial small subunit ribosomal RNA", at positions 30 to 523 of the family's 1533-position model. The record is from RNAcentral.
AUUGAACGCUGGCGGCAGGCCUAACACAUGCAAGUCGAACGGUAGCACAGAGAGCUUGCUCUUGGGUGACGAGUGGCGGACGGGUGAGUAAUGUCUGGGAAACUGCCCGAUGGAGGGGGAUAACUACUGGAAACGGUAGCUAAUCCCGCAUAACGUCUUAGGACCAAAGUGGGGGACCUUCGGGUCUCACACCAUCGGAUGUGCCCAGAUGGGAUUAGCUAGUAGGUGGGGUAAAGGCUCACCUAGGCGACGAUCCCUGGCUGGUCUGAGAGGAUGACCAGCCACGCUGGAACUGAGACACGGUCCAGACGCCUACGGGAGGCAGCAGUGGGGAAUAUUGCACAAUGGGCGCAAGCCUGAUGCAGCCAUGCCGCGUGUAUGAAGAAGGCCUUCGGGUUGUAAAGUUCUUUCAGCGGGGAGGAAGGCGUUAAGGUUAAUAACCUUGGCGAUUGACGUUACCCGCAGAAGAAGCACCGGCUAACUCCGUGCCAGCCGCCGCCGUAA